This is a long non-coding RNA of Labrus mixtus (cuckoo wrasse), 442 nucleotides long. RefSeq lists it as uncharacterized. The transcript has 2 exons. Lineage: Eukaryota; Metazoa; Chordata; Actinopteri; Labriformes; Labridae. The record is from RefSeq and is a predicted model, not a curated record.
UACCCCGAUAGAUUCCUACUGGUCCAGGCAUAAACGUUUCUAUUUUUUAGUCACUGACUAGAGAAAAAAAACAAUAUCAUACGCUCUGCUUAUUUGAAUGAUUUGAAAAGGGUCCUGCAGGCCAGGAUUGUGUCGAGGAGGCUCUGUUCAGGAGCAGGGAUGCCCCUGACUAGGGAACAGCGUCCCGCAUCAAAACAAAAGUGCCUUUUGCUACGACCCUCGAACCAAUCACUUCAAACGCACCUUUUUUUUUGAUUUGACUUUAUGGACUUUGUCAAACAAAUAUCCAUUUUGCACCAAUGGUGCUGUUUUAUCACAGGCUGCUGAGUUCAAUAAUAUCAGCAUGGUCUAUUUUUUCUUUUCAAGAUGUACGAACACAUUUUGCAUUUUUUGUCUAAAUGUUCAGAGCAUUAUUUCAAUAAAUAAAUACUUAUCAACAGCU